UCGACGGCAGCACGGGUGCUUGCACCUGGUGGCGAGUGGCGAACGGGUGAGUAAUACAUCGGAACAUGUCCUGUAGUGGGGGAUAGCCCGGCGAAAGCCGGAUUAAUACCGCAUACGAUCUACGGAUGAAAGCGGGGGACCUUCGGGCCUCGCGCUAUAGGGGUUGGCCGAUGGCUGAUUAGCUUAGUUGGUGGGGUAAAGAGCCCACCAAAGGCGGACGAUCAGUAGCUGGUCUGAGAGGACGACCCAGCCACACUGGGACUGAGACACGGCCCCAGACUCCUACGGGAGGCCAGCAGUGUGGGAAUUUUGGACCAAUGGGCGAAAGCCUGAUCCAGCAAUGCCGCGUGUGUGAAGAAGGCCUUCGGGUUGUAAAGCACUUUUGUCCGGAAAGAAAUCCUUGAUUCUAAUACAGUCGGGGGAUGACGGUACCGGAAGAAUAAGCACCGGCUAACUACGUGCCAGCAGCCGCGGUAAUACGUAGGGUGCAAGCGUUAAUCGGAAUUACUGGGCGUAAAGCGUGCGCAGGCGGUUUGCUAAGACCGAUGUGAAAUCCCCGGGCUCAACCUGGGAACUGCAUUGGUGACUGGCAGGCUAGAGUAUGGCAGAGGGGGGUAGAAUUCCACGUGUAGCAGUGAAAUGCGUAGAGAUGUGGAGGAAUACCGAUGGCGAAGGCAGCCCCCUGGGCCAAUACUGACGCUCAUGCACGAAAGCGUGGGGAGCAAACAGGAUUAGAUACCCUGGUAGUCCACGCCCUAAACGAUGUCAACUAGUUGUUGGGGAUUCAUUUCCUUAGUAACGUAGCUAACGCGUGAAGUUGACCGCCUGGGGAGUACGGUCGCAAGAUUAAAACUCAAAGGAAUUGACGGGGACCCGCACAAGCGGUGGAUGAUGUGGAUUAAUUCGAUGCAACGCGAAAAACCUUACCUACCCUUGACAUGGUCGGAAUCCCGCUGAGAGGUGGGAGUGCUCGAAAGAGAACCGGCGCACAGGUGCUGCAUGGCUGUCGUCAGCUCGUGUCGUGAGAUGUUGGGUUAAGUCCCGCAACGAGCGCAACCCUUGUCCUUAGUUGCUACGCAAGAGCACUCUAAGGAGACUGCCGGUGACAAACCGGAGGAAGGUGGGGAUGACGUCAAGUCCUCAUGGCCCUUAUGGGUAGGGCUUCCACACGUCAUACAAUGGUCGGAACAGAGGGUUGCCAACCCGCGAGGGGGAGCUAAUCCCAGAAAACCGAUCGUAGUCCGGAUUGCACUCUGCAACUCGAGUGCAUGAAGCUGGAAUCGCUAGUAAUCGCGGAUCAGCAUGCCGCGGUGAAUACGUUCCCGGGUCUUGUACACACCGCCCGUCACACCAUGGGAGUGGGUUUUACCAGAAGUGGCUAGUCUAACCGCAAGGAGGACGGUCACCACGGUAGGAUUCAUGACUGGGGGAAGUCUAUU
Molecule: ribosomal RNA, 1439 nt
Filed under: Burkholderia sp.
Lineage: Bacteria; Pseudomonadati; Pseudomonadota; Betaproteobacteria; Burkholderiales; Burkholderiaceae
Description: bacterial SSU rRNA
Rfam family: Bacterial small subunit ribosomal RNA
Source: RNAcentral